GGGGAUGUGGCUCAAGUGGUAGCGCGCUCGCCUGGCAUGCGAGGGGUGCUGGGUUUGAUCCUCAGCACCACA
RNAcentral lists this transfer RNA (72 nucleotides) under Marmota monax (woodchuck). Its description in RNAcentral is "tRNA.Ala". The record is from RNAcentral. Lineage: Eukaryota; Metazoa; Chordata; Mammalia; Rodentia; Sciuridae.